GAUGAAGAACGCAGCGAAAUGCGAUAAGUAAUGUGAAUAGCAGAAUUCAGUGAAUCAUCGAAUCUUUGAACGCACCUUGCGCCCUUUGGCUAUUCCGAAGGGCAUGCCUGUUUGAGUAUCGUGAACACCUCAACUCUCAUGGUUUGCCAUGAUGAGCUUGGACUUUGGGGGUUUUGCUGGCCUUUGGUCGGCUCCUCUCAAACGGAUCAGCUUUCCAGUGUUUGGUGGCGUCACGGGUGUGAUAACUAUCUACGCCUGUGGUUUUCUGCCAGAUAACCUUCAGCGAUGGAGGUUCGCUGGGGCUCAUAAAUGUCUCUCUUCAGUGGAGACAGCUUUUUGGACGUUUGAUCUCAAAUCAGGUAGGACUACCCGCUGAACUUAAGCAUAUCAAUAAGCGGAGGA
This 402-nucleotide unclassified non-coding RNA is filed under the name soil metagenome. Its description in RNAcentral is "partial contains 5.8S ribosomal RNA, internal transcribed spacer 2, and large subunit ribosomal RNA". The stretch from base 1 to 121 matches the Rfam family "5.8S ribosomal RNA", at positions 35 to 154 of the family's 154-position model. The record is from RNAcentral.